Molecule: ribosomal RNA, 555 nt
Filed under: Dendryphiella sp. Swarna-1
Lineage: Eukaryota; Fungi; Ascomycota; Dothideomycetes; Pleosporales; Dictyosporiaceae
Description: eukaryotic LSU rRNA
Rfam family: 5.8S ribosomal RNA (bases 208-361)
Source: RNAcentral
UGAUUCUCUCCCGUGAGGGUGAACCUGCGGAAGGAUCAUUACACAUAUAAACUAGAUCUCAGGGGAGGUUCGCCUCUUUCUGAGAUGUAUGUUAUACCCAUGUCUUUUGCGUACUACUUGUUUCCUUGGUAGGCUUGCCUGCCAAUAGGACAAAAUCAAAACCUUUUGUAAUUGCAGUCAGCGUCAGAAAUAACUUUUAAUAGUUACAACUUUCAACAACGGAUCUCUUGGUUCUGGCAUCGAUGAAGAACGCAGCGAAAUGCGAUAAGUAGUGUGAAUUGCAGAAUUCAGUGAAUCAUCGAAUCUUUGAACGCACAUUGCGCCCCUUGGUAUUCCAUGGGGCAUGCCUGUUCGAGCGUCAUUUGUACCCUCAAGCUUUGCUUGGUGUUGGGCGUUUGUCUCGCGUUGCGCGUAGACUCGCCUUAAAGCGAUUGGCAGCCGGCAUAUUGGCCUUGGAGCGCAGCACAUUUUGCGAAUCCAGUCAUUUAUGUUGGCGUCCAUUAAGCCUAUACAUUUUGCUCUGACCUCGGAUCAGGUAGGUACCCAGACUCCCUA